This is a long non-coding RNA of Cannabis sativa, 350 nucleotides long. RefSeq lists it as uncharacterized. NCBI's taxonomy places the organism in Eukaryota, Viridiplantae, Streptophyta, Magnoliopsida, Rosales, Cannabaceae. The transcript has 3 exons. The record is from RefSeq and is a predicted model, not a curated record.
GAUUGGUGCAAAUUUGUUGAAAGUAGACUAACUCCUGAAUUUCUGGAAUUGAGUAAGGUGCAACGUGAACGUUCCUCAAAAAUUCAAUCCAGACAUCGAAGUGGUCGGAGUGGGAUGGUGAACGUACGGGAAGCUGUGAAAAAGGACCUCGAAGUUGCAGAUCCUCCCCGCCACCGUGUUUGGAUUAAAUCUCGCACCAAGAGUAGAAAACUUGUCACUGAUUACGACAAGGAAAUUGCCGAGAAGAUAGUAAGUAUAUAUUAAUUCAUAUACUAAUUGCUUGAAUAUAUAAUUCAAUUAGAGUUAGUGUAUAUAAUUCAUAUACUAAUUGCUUGAAUAUAUGCGUGCAU